ACAACCCCCCCUGGGGGGGCCCUUCAGCAAAUCCUGUGUACGCGCCUGAAUUCCCAAUUAAGCCAUCGCUCCCCGCAAGAUCCAGCCUGGCAGAGCUAAGUGCAGCAGAUAAGUUUUUUUUAACCCUCAUGAAAUUGUCAACCCUCACUACUUCUCAUUUUAGCCACAGUAAACCGACUAAGCCAUCAUCCCCUCAAGUAUCAUCAGAUUGUGAUUGUGUGAUAUGGGAAAGCUAAAAUAGAUAAAUGUGACACAGAUUGAUGCCGUCGGAAAGGGAGCUGUUUUUAGUCAUAACAUUUUAGUGUCGUCCAAUAGCCGUUGUCGUUUCCAGAGCAUUCCAAUCGCAUGCCAAGCGCCUUCUGGUAACCCAGGAUGCAACGCACGCCACCUAGCAGCGAGACAAUCUAAUCAAGGCCUGGAGGUUCGAAAUAAAAUUUCAUUUCA
Nematostella vectensis (starlet sea anemone) is the source of this 444-nucleotide long non-coding RNA. RefSeq lists it as uncharacterized. The record is from RefSeq and is a predicted model, not a curated record. The transcript is spliced from 2 exons. NCBI's taxonomy places the organism in Eukaryota, Metazoa, Cnidaria, Anthozoa, Actiniaria, Edwardsiidae.